GAUGAACGCUGGCGGCGUGCUUAACACAUGCCAGUCGAACGAAGCACUUUAUUUGAUUUCCUUCGGGACUGAUUAUUUUGUGACUGAGUGGCGGACGGGUGAGUAACGCGUGGGUAACCUGCCUUGUACAGGGGGAUAACAGUUGGAAACGGCUGCUAAUACCGCAUAAGCGCACAGCAUCGCAUGAUGCAGUGUGAAAAACUCCGGUGGUAUAAGAUGGACCCGCGUUGGAUUAGCUAGUUGGUGAGGUAACGGCCCACCAAGGCGACGAUCCAUAGCCGACCUGAGAGGGUGACCGGCCACAUUGGGACUGAGACACGGCCCAAACUCCUACGGGAGGCAGCAGUGGGGAAUAUUGCACAAUGGGCGAAAGCCUGAUGCAGCGACGCCGCGUGAGCGAAGAAGUAUUUCGGUAUGUAAAGCUCUAUCAGCAGGGAAGAUAAUGACGGUACCUGACGAAGAAGCACCGGCUAAAUACGUG
Molecule: ribosomal RNA, 481 nt
Filed under: uncultured bacterium
Lineage: Bacteria
Description: partial 16S ribosomal RNA
Rfam family: Bacterial small subunit ribosomal RNA
Source: RNAcentral